Molecule: ribosomal RNA, 253 nt
Filed under: uncultured bacterium
Lineage: Bacteria
Description: partial 16S ribosomal RNA
Rfam family: Bacterial small subunit ribosomal RNA
Source: RNAcentral
GACGGGGGAUGCAAGCGUUAUCCGGAAUCACUGGGCGUAAAGCGUCUGUAGGUGGAGAUGCAAGUCACUGGUGCAAAACUCUGGCUCAACCGGAGGAAAGCCAGUGAAACUGCAUGACUAGAGUGUGGGAGAGGUAGAAGGAAUUCCCUGAGUAGCGGUGAAAUUCGUAGAUACAGGUAAGAACACCGGAGGCGAAAGCGUUCUACUGGAACACAACUGACACUGAGAUACGAAAGCUAGGGGAGCAAAUGGG